GGACUCUUAGCUCAGUUGGUAGAGCAUCUGGUUUACACCCAGAGUGUCAUCGGUUCGAGUCCGGUAGAGUCCA
This 73-nucleotide transfer RNA is filed under the name Arcanobacterium sp. RNAcentral's name for it is "tRNA-Val". It matches the Rfam family "tRNA". Rfam says of the family: Transfer RNA (tRNA) molecules are approximately 80 nucleotides in length. Their secondary structure includes four short double-helical elements and three loops (D, anti-codon, and T loops). Further hydrogen bonds mediate the characteristic L-shaped molecular structure. tRNAs have two regions of fundamental functional importance: the anti-codon, which is responsible for specific mRNA codon recognition, and the 3' end, to which the tRNAs corresponding amino acid is attached (by aminoacyl-tRNA synthetases). tRNAs cope with the degeneracy of the genetic code in two manners: having more than one tRNA (with a specific anti-codon) for a particular amino acid; and 'wobble' base-pairing, i.e. permitting non-standard base-pairing at the 3rd anti-codon position. RNAcentral also lists the same sequence under 1 other name. Lineage: Bacteria; Bacillati; Actinomycetota; Actinomycetes; Actinomycetales; Actinomycetaceae. The record is from RNAcentral.